This 402-nucleotide ribosomal RNA is filed under the name Amblyomma glauerti. Its description in RNAcentral is "partial 16S ribosomal RNA". The stretch from base 163 to 402 matches the Rfam family "Bacterial large subunit ribosomal RNA", at positions 2079 to 2619 of the family's 2925-position model. The record is from RNAcentral. Lineage: Eukaryota; Metazoa; Arthropoda; Arachnida; Ixodida; Ixodidae.
CUGCUCAAUGAUUUUUUAAAUUGCUGUGGUAUUUUGACUAUACAAAGGUAUUGUAAUAAGAUUUUAAUUGAAUGCUAAAAGAAUGGAAUACAAAAAAUAUCUUUAUUAAUCUUAAAAAUUGAAGUUAAUUUUAUUUGUGAAGAAGCAAUAAUAAAAAUUAUUGACAAGAAGACCCUAAGAAUUUAAUUAAUUGGGGCGAUUGGAAAAUAUUAAUAACUUUUUCAUUAUUAAUGGUAAAAUGAAAAAAUACUCUAGGGAUAACAGCGUAAUAAUUUUUAAUAGUUCAUAUAGACAAAAUAGUUUGCGACCUCGAUGUUGGAUUAGGAUUCUUUUUUAAUGAAGAAGUUAAAAAAAGAAGUUUGUUCAACUUUUAAAUUCCUACUUGAUCUGAGUUCAGACCGG